This 410-nucleotide RNase P RNA is filed under the name Mycobacterium heckeshornense. RNAcentral describes it as "bacterial RNase P". It matches the Rfam family "Bacterial RNase P class A". Rfam says of the family: Ribonuclease P (RNase P) is a ubiquitous endoribonuclease, found in archaea, bacteria and eukarya as well as chloroplasts and mitochondria. Lineage: Bacteria; Bacillati; Actinomycetota; Actinomycetes; Mycobacteriales; Mycobacteriaceae. The record is from RNAcentral.
CGAGUUGGCCGGGCGGCCGCGGCUCUCCCUGGUCCGCAGGGACCAGGCGAGUCGAGGAAAGUCCGGACUUCACAGAGCAGGGUGGUUGCUAACGGCAACCCGGGGUGACCCGCGGGAAAGUGCCACAGAAAACAGACCGCCACCUUCGCGGUGGUAAGGGUGAAACGGUGCGGUAAGAGCGCACCAGCAUCCCGGGUGACCGGGAUGGCUAGGCAAACCCCACCCGAAGCAAGGCCAAGAAGACCGCACCCGGUGCGGUCGCGCAGGCGUUCGAGGGUUGCUCGCCCGAGCCUGCGGGUAGGCCGCUUGAGGCACCCGGUGACGGUGUGUCCAGAUGGAUGGUCGCCGCCCCGCUAACCGCGAUCCGCGGUGGCGGGGAACAGAAUCCGGCUUACAGGCCAACUCGUCCG